This 252-nucleotide ribosomal RNA is filed under the name uncultured bacterium. RNAcentral's name for it is "partial 16S ribosomal RNA". It matches the Rfam family "Bacterial small subunit ribosomal RNA", at positions 524 to 776 of the family's 1533-position model. The record is from RNAcentral.
UACAGAGGUCUCAAGCGUUGUUCGGAUUUAUUGGGCGUAAAGGGUGCGUAGGCGGUGGGGUAAGUCGGGUGUGAAAUACCGCAGCUUAACUGCGGUCAGCACUCGAUACUGCCUCCCUAGAGCGCUAGAGAGGGGACUGGAAUUUACGGUGUAGCAGUGAAAUGCGUAGAUAUCGUAAGGAAGGCCAGUUGCGAAAGCGAGUCCCUGGAUAGUUGCUGACGCUGAGGCACGAAAGCUGGGGGAGCAAACGGG